Molecule: long non-coding RNA, 488 nt
Organism: Boleophthalmus pectinirostris (great blue-spotted mudskipper)
Lineage: Eukaryota; Metazoa; Chordata; Actinopteri; Gobiiformes; Gobiidae
Exons: 3
Source: RefSeq, a predicted model, not a curated record
CUGUAGUUCACACACCACCACCAUGGAGAGAGAUAAAAUGGGGGAGAGAAGAGAAUCUGGAAUAUGUGAAAACGUAUCAACCGACAAAUGCAGACGUGUCGAAACUGCGAAUCAUGAUUUAUGGACCAGUCGGGGCAGGAAAGUCCAGCUUUAUCAACUCCAUUCACACAGCUGUUUGUGGAAGACCAUCCAACAUUGCUACUCCAAGCUCCAAAACUCAAGAUCUGUUGAGCUUCACAACCAGACUUCAGAUGAAGAGUCUGUAGUGAGUCGAGCUCCUGCACCACCAGACUAAAUCUGACAGAGACGCCUGUGUUGGCACUGGUGGAUUAUGAAUGGCACUGAGUCGCUUUUGGAGUUUUUUGUCAUUAAAUUAAAUUGUAGACAAUAAUUUAUCCUAAAACUAAUCAGAUUAAACAUAAUUGACCCUCACCUGGCACAAGUGUGAUUUAUAGUAUAUGAUUCUUGAGUCGGGACAAAACAGGUUU